RNAcentral lists this ribosomal RNA (497 nucleotides) under uncultured bacterium. RNAcentral's name for it is "partial 16S ribosomal RNA". It matches the Rfam family "Bacterial small subunit ribosomal RNA", at positions 28 to 507 of the family's 1533-position model. The record is from RNAcentral.
GAUGAACGCUGGCGGCGUGCCUAAUACAUGCAAGUCGAGCGAACGGACGAGAAGCUUGCUUUUCUGAUGUUAGCGGCGGACGGGUGAGUAACACGUGGAUAACCUACCUAUAAGACUGGGAUAACUUCGGGAAACCGGAGCUAAUACCGGAUAAUAUUUUGAACCGCAUGGUUCAAAAGUGAAAGACGGUCUUGCUGUCACUUAUAGAUGGAUCCGCGCUGCAUUAGCUAGUUGUUAAGGUAACGGCUUACCAAGGCAACGAUGCAUAGCCGACCUGAGAGGGUGAUCGGCCACACUGGAACUGAGCCACGGUCAAGACUCCUACGGGAGGCAGCAGUAGGGAAUCUUACGCAAUGGGCGAAAGCCUGACGGAGCAACGCGGCGUGAGUGAUGAAGGUCUUCGGAUCGUAAAACUCUGUUAUUAGGGAAGAACAUAUGUGUAAGUAACUGUGCACAUCUUGACGGUACCUAAUCAGAAAGCCACGGCUAACUACGUG